RNAcentral lists this ribosomal RNA (452 nucleotides) under uncultured bacterium. Its description in RNAcentral is "bacterial SSU rRNA". It matches the Rfam family "Bacterial small subunit ribosomal RNA", at positions 29 to 524 of the family's 1533-position model. The record is from RNAcentral.
AACGAACGCUGGCGGCAGGCCUAACACAUGCAAGUCGAACGCCGUAGCAAUACGGAGUGGCAGACGGGUGAGUAACACGUGGGAACGUACCCUUCGGUUCGGAAUAACUCAGGGAAACUUGAGCUAAUACCGGAUACGUCCGAGGGGAGAAAGAUUUAUCGCCGAGGGAGUCGGCCCGCGUCUGAUUAGCUUGUUGGUGAGGUAACGGCUCACCAAGGCGACGAUCAGUAGCUGGUCUGAGAGGAUGAUCAGCCACAUUGGGACUGAGACACGGCCCAAACUCCUACGGGAGGCAGCAGUGGGGAAGUAUUGGACAAUGGGCGCAAGCCUGAUCCAGCCAUGCCGCGUGAGUGAUGAAGGCCCUAGGGUUGUAAAGCUCUUUUACCCGGGAAGAUAAUGACUGUACCGGGAGAAUAAGCCCCGGCUAACUUCGUGCCAGCAGCCGCUGUAAG